RNAcentral lists this ribosomal RNA (235 nucleotides) under uncultured Actinomycetales bacterium. Its description in RNAcentral is "partial 16S ribosomal RNA". It matches the Rfam family "Bacterial small subunit ribosomal RNA", at positions 96 to 334 of the family's 1533-position model. Lineage: Bacteria; Bacillati; Actinomycetota; Actinomycetes; Actinomycetales. The record is from RNAcentral.
UGGCGAACGGGUGAGUAACACGUGGGUGAUCUGCACUGCACUUCGGGAUAAGCUUGGGAAACUGGGUCUAAUACCGGAUAGGAGCCAUCUUUAGUGUGGUGGUUGGAAAGUCUUUUCGGUGUAGGAUGAGCUCGCGGCCUAUCAGCUUGUUGGUGGGGUAAUGGCCUACCAAGGCGGCGACGGGUAGCCGGCCUGAGAGGGUGUACGGCCACAUUGGGACUGAGAUACGGCCCAG